CAAUUAUCAAAAUUACUUUUGCCAUUGAAGGAAAGGAACUACUGGCAAGAACUUCUAAGGAUUAGUAUUAUUCUAAAAAAAACUUUAAAAAAAUCUGAAUAGAGACUCAUUUCUGUCAUAAGAGGGGCAGAAGAGAGAAGGAAUAGGAUUCACAGAAUAAGCCCAAUAAAAGAACAAAAUAACUUCAUUCUCUAAAAAUAAAGGACAGCAUGUAAGAUGGGUAAAGGUGAGAUCCUUUUGGAUAUCUUGGAUAAGAACCCUUAAAUUUAUCUACAGACCUGUCACCUUGGAGAGCUGCUACUGUUUUAAAGAUCCUGGCUCCUCUGUGGUAUGCUGAAUUGGAACAUAAGAUUUCUCUUCAUCAUUCCUUCUCACUUGGGGUUAAGACCCUUGUCCUCUCCUAUACUCAGAGUUCCUUCCCUUGAUCUAAUAAAGAUACAUCCAUGUUAGAAACAGUCCUGCUCACAAGGAAAAAUAAAGUGGAAAUUUGCCAUAAAGUGGCUGCCUCACAGUGGAAACCCGAAGUCUGGGUUAUCGGGUGAUUACAACAAAUAGUUUUUGAGCAUCUGCACUGUGGUAGACACUUGUACACACAGGAUACACUGAAGAACAAACAUAAAGUAGUGGCCUGUAACAGGAUGGAUUCAGUACAGAUGCUCUACAGUUAAGAGUAUAAGAAAUGAACUCUUCUUCAACCUGGACUUCAGAUUCUCUCUACUUCUUGCCUUGUGAAUCUGCACAUCCUAUCAUAGCAGUCGUAGCAUCUUACUCCCUGAACACAUAAAUCAGGGUGCGCUACUGGGCUUCCCAGGCCUGUCCUUGGGACCAGGUGUUGAAAUCACCUUUCAGAAGUUGGCAUCCCAGCUAAAUAAAUUUAACUGGAUACUCAGUUCCAGGUUGCCUCUUUCAAAAGGCACAUCACCCCAUGCCUUCAUAAAAAUGGUAGCCGACAUUUAUUAAGCAUGCGGUUUGCCAAAUGGUAACUGCAUUAUUUAGUAAUUUAAAAAAAUUAAAGUUUGUUUUUGUUUUUGUUGUGUUUGAGACAGGGUCGUGCUCUGUCGCCCAGGCUGGAGUGCAGUGGCCUGAUCAUGGCUUACUGAAGUC
This 1104-nucleotide long non-coding RNA is filed under the name Homo sapiens (human). RNAcentral describes it as "HSALNT0261815". The record is from RNAcentral. Lineage: Eukaryota; Metazoa; Chordata; Mammalia; Primates; Hominidae.